UGGGGAAUAUUGCACAAUGGGGGAAACCCUGAUGCAGCGACGCCGCGUGAACGAAGAAGGUAUUCGUAUCGUAAAGUUCUGUCCUAUGGGAAGAUAAUGACAGUACCAUAGAAGAAAGCUCCGGCUAGAUACGUGCCAGCAGCCGCGGUAAUACGUAUGGAGCGAGCGUUGUCCGGAAUUAUUGGGCGUAAAGGGUACGCAGGCGGUUUAAUAAGUCGAAUGUUAAAGAUCGGGGCUCAACCCCGCAAAGCAUUGGAAACUGAUAAACUUGAGUAGUGGAGAGGAAAGUGGAAUUCCUAGUGUAGUGGUGAAAUACGUAGAUAUUAGGAGGAAUACCAGUAGCGAAGGCGACUUUCUGGACACAAACUGACGCUGAGGUACGAAAGCGUGGGGAGCAAACAGG
RNAcentral lists this ribosomal RNA (403 nucleotides) under bacterium. RNAcentral's name for it is "partial 16S ribosomal RNA". It matches the Rfam family "Bacterial small subunit ribosomal RNA", at positions 355 to 776 of the family's 1533-position model. The record is from RNAcentral.